RNAcentral lists this ribosomal RNA (774 nucleotides) under uncultured Neocallimastigales. RNAcentral describes it as "partial large subunit ribosomal RNA". It matches the Rfam family "Eukaryotic large subunit ribosomal RNA", at positions 24 to 649 of the family's 3401-position model. Lineage: Eukaryota; Fungi; Neocallimastigomycota; Neocallimastigomycetes; Neocallimastigales. The record is from RNAcentral.
UAUGUGAUCGUCUCUCGCAUAUCAAUAAGCGGAGGAAAAGAAACUAACAAGGAUUCCCCUAGUAACGGCGAGUGAAGCGGGAAGAGCUCAAAUUUGAAAUCUUAAAGGGUUUCCCUUUACGAAUUGUAGUUUAAAGAAGUGUUUUCUGUUGAGGUUUUGGUAAAAGUUCUUUGGAAUAGGACAUCAUAGAGGGUGAGAAUCCCGUAUUUGACCUUAACUUUCAACUUUGUGAUACACUUUCAAAGAGUCGGAUUGUUUGGGAAUGCAGUCCAAAAUGGGUGGUAAAUUUCAUCUAAAGCUAAAUAUUGGCGAGAGACCGAUAGCGAACAAGUACCGUGAGGGAAAGAUGAAAAGAACUUUGAAAAGAGAGUUAAACAGUACGUGAAAUUGUCAAAAGGGAAGCGUUUGACACCAGUGUUGUUUUUCUGAAAAUCAAUUAAAGAACUGUUUAUGCUAAGCUGUUUAGACUUUAUCAGCUAACUGUUUAGUUUUGAGCUUUUCUUUAAUGCACUUUUCAGUUAACAAGUCAACAUCAAUUUCUUUUGCUGUAAAAAAGCUUGAGGAAGGUGGCUUGAGAUUCGUCUUAAGUGUUUAUAGCCUCUUGCCUAUGCAGUCGGAGAGAUUGAGGUCUGCAGCGUAGAUCCUUCGGGGCUAAAUGCAUUUGUGCUAAGUUAUAGCAUUUUAUAGACAACUUGUUGACUAUGAUUUGUCUUGUAGCUUACUCGCUUAUGUUAUUUUACCUACGCUUAGGAUGUUGAGUAGCGACAUACGCAC